RNAcentral lists this long non-coding RNA (2030 nucleotides) under Homo sapiens (human). RNAcentral describes it as "HSALNT0248401". The record is from RNAcentral. Lineage: Eukaryota; Metazoa; Chordata; Mammalia; Primates; Hominidae.
UGUGAAGCUUUCUUUGCCUGUUACCAGAGAAAGCGAAAGAGCUACCAAGUCUUAGGGCACAUGGACAGAACCAGAAGAUGCCCAGUGAAGUGCUAGGAUAGGGUACAGUCCCAUAGCUUUUGGGCCAAAUGAGAAGGAAAAGCAGAACCUGGGACCAGGAAAGCCCCAGCAGCUCCAGACUCCAGGACUCUUUACCAAGACUGAUGGGAGGAACUAAGGCAAAGAUGAGACACCUGUCACCAAGACACCUGUCUUGGCUGCUUCCACUUCUGACUCAGUUGUGUUGGUGUGAAUGCAAAACUGGCUCUCUGGCUCCCAAGAAUGUAUAAAUCCAGGACAGAAAACCAAGCAUUUGGGCACCAGGCAAGAGGUCUUUCCAGAUUCCCCAAACAGACUUUUCAGAAUUCCCCAAAGAUACUGAAACUCAGACCCAUUCUGACCCCACCCCAAAAAGUAUCAUAAAUGGAAUCUGGGAGCCAUUCAGAGUCUCCAGCCUCCUCUUUGGUGAAAAUGGACUUGGACCUAAAAAGGCACCCCAUUGUCCACAAGGACACAAAUUCAGAUGCUGAGCACUGGCCUCCUGCCUUCCGAUGACGGAUCUUACCUGAGUCCCAUCAAAGCCCAUACUGUUCCCCAACCUCCACCAUCCAGACAUUAGGAACAAUCCCUCAGAACUGUCUUGAUGAGAUGGGACAAGCAGUGGUAGAGGUCCAGAUUCAGAAUGGUUGCCUCAUCUUUCCCUUCUGAGAAGUCUAUACCUGCUGGUCUGAGCCUUCAUCCCUUACAUGGCUUAGCCCAUGUCCCAGGAAGUGCCCCCUAAAAGAACCUUCUAGUAUUUUUCUCCCCUGAAGAGAGGGUCCAUGAGACACUCUAUGCCAGGAAAUACAUGACCUCCAUUCUCACAUGACUUGAUUGACUGAUAAACUGAUACCCUGAGAAAGAAAAAGAUGCAGGGAACAUCUUGUGUGUGGUGAAUCUGUGCUCCUCAGCUGUGGUGCCUGUGCAAAUGGUGGAACCCAAAAGAAUAUUGGGUGGUAGACACACAGACCCUACCUAAUAAAAUUAUGUAAGUUUAGGUUUAAUAUAGAUGGAACUUAUAAUGUCAUAUAAAAUGUUGUUACUUAUUUUGUAAGAAAGCUGAGUUAGAUUUUGUAAAGGCAUUAAAUAUAAUUUUAAUGGGAAGCUAUGAAAAUUGUGUGCAUUUGGUGUGUAAAUGACUCAUUUUGGGUAAUUCUGUAAAGGCCACCUAUGAAUGUGAGUCAUUAGUAACCAAAUCUCCUAUAGAUAGCAUAUUGCAUAUUCAUUUUAAUGUAUUCUUUUACCUGAGCUCAAUUUUUCUUAAUUUUAUUCAUCAAAUUUUAUACGCUUUAGAUAAAAGACACCUUGUAGUUACCAUGUGCUCUAUGGAUCUCUAUUUUGUUAGAAAUACAGAUUUUCAGGCAAAACCCAAGUAUAUCGUAUCAAAAUCAGGUUUUUAAAUAAUAUUCCCAGGUGAUUCACAUGCAUAUUAAUAAUUGUUAAGUGGGGGUAAUUCUAUAAUUAAAAGGGAAAAGGUUAUAUGAGUGUAUUUAUUUGUUAAAAAGGUACAGAAAAGAUUGUAUGUUUCAAUGUAUAUACAUCUUAUCUCAUAGAAAAUAACUAAAAACAAUAAUAAAGUGGGGAUGGGGAAUGAGUUGAAGUAGAAGUUAAACAGAAAUGGCACAUAAUUAGUAGAUGUUUAGGCUGAGCAUCAGUCUAUUAUACUACAUUGCUUAUUGCAUAUAUGUUUAAAAUAUUCUCUAAUAAAAUAAUUGUAUAAAAAGACAAACUUUAUCUACAACAUUAGCUCUUAAGAUUGUGGUUACUUUUGGAGGGGAGGAAAAGAGAAAGUGGUUUGUGUGGCAGAAACAAGGCUAGUUCUAUCCUAUGCCUACACAAAUGUAUUUGUUUGUAAUAAUUUACUGAGCAUUAUGUUAAUGCUUUGGACAUAUAUUUCUGUAUGCAUGUCAUUCAAUAAAAUUUAAAUAUUACAUAUUUAAUCUUAACAGAAU